CCUACGGGUGGCAGCAGUGGGGAAUAUUGGACAAUGGGCGAAAGCCUGAUCCAGCCAUGCCGCGUGUGUGAAGAAGGCCUUCGGGUUGUAAAGCACUUUCAGUGGGGAAGAAAGCCUUGGGGCUAAUACCCUCGAGGAAGGACAUCACCCACAGAAGAAGCACCGGCUAACUCCGUGCCACAGCCGCGGUAAUACGGAGGGUGCGAGCGUUAAUCGGAAUUACUGGGCGUAAAGCGCGCGUAGGCGGUCUGAUAAGCCGGUUGUGAAAGCCCCGGGCUCAACCUGGGAACGGCAUCCGGAACUGUCAGGCUAGAGUGCAGGAGAGGAAGGUAGAAUUCCCGGUGUAGCGGUGAAAUGCGUAGAGAUCGGGAGGAAUACCAGUGGCGAAGGCGGCCUUCUGGACUGACACUGACGCUGAGGUGCGAAAGCGUGGGUAGCAAACAGGAUUAGAUACCCCAGUAGUC
Molecule: ribosomal RNA, 464 nt
Filed under: Vreelandella stevensii
Lineage: Bacteria; Pseudomonadati; Pseudomonadota; Gammaproteobacteria; Oceanospirillales; Halomonadaceae
Description: partial 16S ribosomal RNA
Rfam family: Bacterial small subunit ribosomal RNA
Source: RNAcentral